AGAAUCAACGCUGGCGGCGUGCCUAACACAUGCAAGUCGAACGAGAAAGUGGAGCAAUCCAUGAGUAAAGUGGCGACCGGGUGAGUAACACGUGACUAACCUACCUUCGAGUGGGGGAUAACCUCGGGAAACCGAGGCUAAUACCGCAUAACAUCGCAAGAUCAAAGCAGCAAUGCGCUUGGAGAGGAGUUCGCGGCCGAUUAGCUAGUUGGCGGGGUAAUGGCCCACCAAGGCGAUGAUCGGUA
This 245-nucleotide ribosomal RNA is filed under the name uncultured bacterium. RNAcentral's name for it is "partial small subunit ribosomal RNA". It matches the Rfam family "Bacterial small subunit ribosomal RNA", at positions 26 to 285 of the family's 1533-position model. The record is from RNAcentral.